AGGUCCGUUUUUGACAACGAAUUCCGAAAUGAUGUCAUGUACAUAACGACUGAAUCGAACGUCAUGUCCGGAACGAUUUUUGCCAGGAAAACUGUGAAGGAAAGUUUUCGCAUGAUGGUGGAAAGAAACGGGAAAUCAUUAAUUCCUCCAGCGUGGGCAUUUGGUCCUUGAAAUCAGCUAGAUUCUGAAGUUCCAGGCGGAACCAACCUUACAGAUCGAGCAAAAGAACUGCUGUUCGAUUUGGACAUACCUAUAUCAACCGUUAUAAACCCUGUUCAUUUCUUUCCUGCUGGUGGCGACCGAGGACCUCAGCCCGAGGUCUUGCAACAAAACGAAUAUCUAUUAUCUCUAGGGCUACCGACGACAGCUUAUUUCAACCCCAUGGUGGACCAGAGGUGGACGCAGGGUUAUGCUUACGCCGCCGGAAAGGGUUUCUUUGUGAGAAAUCAACAGGGACAGCCCUACAACUUCUCCUAUAUC
This is a long non-coding RNA of Ostrea edulis (European flat oyster), 480 nucleotides long. RefSeq lists it as uncharacterized. The record is from RefSeq and is a predicted model, not a curated record. The transcript is spliced from 5 exons. Lineage: Eukaryota; Metazoa; Mollusca; Bivalvia; Ostreida; Ostreidae.